RNAcentral lists this ribosomal RNA (440 nucleotides) under uncultured bacterium. Its description in RNAcentral is "partial 16S ribosomal RNA". It matches the Rfam family "Bacterial small subunit ribosomal RNA", at positions 338 to 795 of the family's 1533-position model. The record is from RNAcentral.
CCUACGGGUGGCUGCAGUGGGAAAUAUUUCACAAUGGGGGAAACCCUGAUGCAGCGACGCCGCGUGAGUGAAGAAGUAAUUCGUUAUGUAAAGCUCUAUCAGUAUGGAAGAAAAUUACGGUACCUGAGUAAGAAGCCGCGGCUAACUACGUGCCAGCAGCCGCGGUAAUACGGAGGGAGCAAGCGCGAUCCGGAUUGACUGGGUGUAAAGGGAGCGGAGACGGCAGUGCAAGUCUGGAGUGAAAGGCGGGGGCUCAACCCCCGGACUGCGCUGGAAACUGUACGGCUGGAGUAAAGGAGAGGUAAGUGGAAUUCCUGGUGUAGCAGUGAAAUGCGUAGAUAUUAGGAGGAACACCAGUGGCGAAGGCGGCUUACUGGACUGUAACUGACGUUGAGGCACGAAGGCGUGGGGAGCGAAAGGGAUUAGAUACCCUGGUAGUC